UACGAAGGGGGCUAGCGUUGCUCGGCAUCACUGGGCGUAAAGCGCACGUAGGCGGCUCUUUAAGUCAGGGGUGAAAUCCUGGAGCUCAACUCCAGAACUGCCUUUGAUACUGGGGAUCUCGAGUCCGGAAGAGGUGAGUGGAACUCCGAGUGUAGAGGUGAAAUUCGUAGAUAUUCGGAAGAACACCAGUGGCGAAGGCGGCUCACUGGUCCGGUACUGACGCUGAGGUGCGAAAGCGUGGGGAGCAAACAGG
Molecule: ribosomal RNA, 253 nt
Filed under: uncultured bacterium
Lineage: Bacteria
Description: partial 16S ribosomal RNA
Rfam family: Bacterial small subunit ribosomal RNA
Source: RNAcentral